This 382-nucleotide long non-coding RNA is filed under the name Manihot esculenta (cassava). RNAcentral describes it as "long non-coding RNA (MESC_LNC010299)". The record is from RNAcentral. Lineage: Eukaryota; Viridiplantae; Streptophyta; Magnoliopsida; Malpighiales; Euphorbiaceae.
CAUCAAGGAUGGACUUGUCACCAAUAGCCCUCUACACAUUCCAAUAGUGCCAGGGGCGUAGCAUGGGCCUUACUGGUCUUUCUCUUACAUAACAUAACAUAACAUUCCAACGUGCCAGGGGCAUAGUAUGGGCCUCACUGGUCUUUCUCUUACAUAGUACCAGGGGAGUUGAAUGGGCCUCACUGGUCUUGCACACUAUACCAUAUCAUAUCAUAUCAUCAUACGAGGGCUAAUGGAUCAUUCAACACCCAUCCACAUCAACAUUAUAUUAUGCAAUGCAACAUAUUCGUGAAUUCUAGUGCAAACAACCUAAUAUAUCACAUGGCAUUCGUGAUGCAUGAACAUGCUCUAAAUUUAUUUGCUUUGAAACGUAAAGAUCUAU